This 561-nucleotide ribosomal RNA is filed under the name Zygocotyle lunata. Its description in RNAcentral is "SSU rRNA". It matches the Rfam family "Eukaryotic small subunit ribosomal RNA", at positions 35 to 576 of the family's 1831-position model. The record is from RNAcentral. Lineage: Eukaryota; Metazoa; Platyhelminthes; Trematoda; Plagiorchiida; Paramphistomatidae.
UCUCAGAGAUUAAGCCAUGCAUGUCUAAGUACAUACCUUAAAACGGUGAAACCGCGAAUGGCUCAUUAAAUCAGCUAUGGUUCCUUGGAUCGUACAUACUACAUGGAUAACUGUAGUAAUUCUAGAGCUAAUACAUGCCACUAAGCCCUGACCCGCAAGGGGACGGGUGGAUUUAUUAGAACAGAACCAACCGGUUGUGGCUUCGGUCAUGGCCGUUGUACUCUGUGAUGACUCUGGAUAACUUUACUGAUCGCAGUCGGCCUUGUGUCGGCGACGGAUCUUUCAAAUGUCUGCCCUAUCAAUUGUCGAUGGUAGGUGACCUGCCUACCAUGGUGAUAACGGGUAACGGGGAAUCAGGGUUCGAUUCCGGAGAGGGAGCCUGAGAAACGGCUACCACUUCUAAGGAAGGCAGCAGGCACGCAAAUUACCCAAUCCCGGCACGGGGAGGUAGUGACGAUAAAUACGGAUACGGGACUCAACAGAGGCUCCGUAAUUCGAAUGAGUACAAUUUAAAUCCUUUAACGAGGACCAACUGGAGGGCAAGUCUGGUGCCAGCAGCCG